This 1490-nucleotide ribosomal RNA is filed under the name Triticum aestivum (bread wheat). Its description in RNAcentral is "partial small subunit ribosomal RNA". The record is from RNAcentral. Lineage: Eukaryota; Viridiplantae; Streptophyta; Magnoliopsida; Poales; Poaceae.
GGUCGUCGAAGGACAGCAACAUGUAGAUCGUUGUUGCUAAAACUAAUUUUUUUAUCGUUGUCCGUGAUGAGGGGUCAGGGGUGGCUCGGCGUGUGACGUACGAGGGAAUAGCUGUUGUAGCGGUAAGGAGCCGGCCGGUCAGGUGACGGCGAGGCGGCGGAGCAGCCGAUCCGGCGGCGCGGUGGUAGCCUCGAAGUACCGGCGGCCGUGGAAGUUGGCAACGGUGUGUGGCGGGCCCGAACGGGUGCAGGUCUAGCUCGGCCGUUUGCCUGCCUAGACAGAAGGGGCACAGGCAGGGUCAGGAGCGACGGAGCGGCCUCAGCAGUUCCGCGGCCGGGAGUAGGUGGUUCAGUUGAUGUAGCGUGGGUACGGAGCAGAGUCCUCCUCGUCGCUCGGUCGCGGGCGAAGACGUAGCUCGUGACGAGCUAGGCUGGCGUAGCGGGUUCCGGGUCAGGCGGCGGCGGAAGGAGGCGGGAGCGGCAGGAGGGCGGCCUCCAGCGGCGGUCGUACUUGCAGCGGAGGAGUUUGAGAGGCGGGCGGAGGCCGGUGCAGGAGCUGGCCUAGGCGGCCUAGAAGUAGCGGCGCGGUUCAGGGCGUCGGCGGACUGUGGCGGCGCAGAAGAAGGGGACGCGACGAGCUCUUGCUCGUCUCGGCGGCAAGGGAGUGAAUUUCUCUCUGGCGCCACGUUAAAGACCUUUUGACUUCCCGAAAAAACGUUUUGUCGGUACUGCUGCCUGCUGGUCUUUGCGAUCGGCGCGAAAUAAUAAUAAUAAUAAUAAUGAUCGUUUGUCCGGGCACGCAACGUUGCCCUCCUUCUUUUUCAUUGUACCUUGUUAUCGAAGUGAUUCUAGUUGAUUUCUGUAAUAAUAAUACUGUAUAUUUGCAAGCACAAAACCACAACUACCAAAUAAUACUGUAAUAAUAAUAGGUCGCAAAACUAAAAGCCAAGCUCUAAAAAAAGCGGGGUCCGGCUCUACCGGCUUAAAACCGGUAAAAGUUUAUAAAACCGACUUUAAACUGGUUUAAAACUGACUUUAAACUGAGUUUAAGCUAGUUUUAAACGGUUUAAAUUGGUUAAAGCCAGUUUUCUAUAUAGAGCGGGCUCCGGCUCUACCGGCUUUAAGCCGGCUUUAGGCAAAAAGAGCCGGUUUUAAAUUUUGUGUUGACCCUAGUUGUUACAAACUUCUGUUAAAUAUAAGCGACCUGCACGUUCGAUAUACAAAAAUCAACAAGCACACAGAAUUGGGGACAUAUAUAUAAUAGUCAAACAGAUAUAUAUAAUAUCCGAUAUACUCAAGCAUUCCCUUUAUUUCGCUUGGUUUAGGUUGGUUUUAUCUUAUCAUAGGCCGUUGCACACGUAUCUGAGUCUGUUGUUUCAUGAUGUGCAGGCGCAUAAUCUCUACAAAUGGCUAGACCACUUGCUUACUCGGGACGUACUACUCGAAGAACAUACACUGGAAAACAGGGUCCGAAGAUCCGAAGCGGAAAAU